Molecule: non-coding RNA, 25 nt
Filed under: Drosophila melanogaster (fruit fly)
Lineage: Eukaryota; Metazoa; Arthropoda; Insecta; Diptera; Drosophilidae
Source: RNAcentral
CUAUCCAAGACUGCUCAUUGAGGUA